Molecule: ribosomal RNA, 459 nt
Filed under: uncultured bacterium
Lineage: Bacteria
Description: partial 16S ribosomal RNA
Rfam family: Bacterial small subunit ribosomal RNA
Source: RNAcentral
CCUACGGGAGGCAGCAGUGAGGAAUAUUGGUCAAUGGCCGGGAGGCUGAACCAGCCAAGUCGCGUGAGGGAAGACGGCCCUACGGGUUGUAAACCUCUUUUGUCAGGGAGCAAGGUGCAGGUCGGGACCUGCUGUGAGAGUACCUGAAGAAAAAGCAUCGGCUAACUCCGUGCCAGCAGCCGCGGUAAUACGGAGGAUGCGAGCGUUAUCCGGAUUUAUUGGGUUUAAAGGGUGCGAAGGCGGAGGCACAAGUCAGCGGUAACAUAGCGGGGCUCAACCCCGCUCCGCCGUUGAAACUGUGUGCCUUGAGUGCGCGAAGGGUAGGCGGAAUGCGUGGUGUAGCGGUGAAAUGCAGAGAUAUCACGCAGAACUCCGAUCGCGAAGGCAGCCUACCGGCGCGCAACUGACGCUCAUGCACGAAAGCGUGGGUAUCGAACAGGAUUAGAUACCCCAGUAGUC